AAGGAGGUGCAGGUAGCGGGGCGCUUGAGGUGAGGUGGCUGCAGGGUCGCUCGAGAAGAACAUGCUCAUCAGCACCACCUGGAUGCCUUCGUCAUCAGCAAUGUGGACAAGGUAAAGUGGGAUGGCGGGAUUGUAUAGUGCUCAUAAGCCAGUCCGGGCAUUGUCCUUCCUCGAAUGAAUCUGAGACUACUCCUCAUAUGUUAAUCAGUUGCUCCUCCCUAGCUUUGGUUUGGUCUGAACUUCAAAGUUUUCAUCCACCCAAUGUUGAUUCAGUCAAAGAUCUCUUGGAAAAAUUAUUUCGACAAGAUUCACUCUAUAAUGUUGUUAUCAUUGUCCUCUGGAAUAUAUGGAAGCGCAAAAACUCCAAGGUCUCCCGGGAUGUUUUUGAGGAAUUGCACAUUACUGCUAGCAAGAUUGCUGAUGAUUGAUACCAUGGUCCAACAGUUCUCAGUUUUAUGAAGUGGUUCAGGCUGGCGUAAGCCGCCAUAGUCCCAGUAAAAAAAGGCUACAAGCUUCGCUUCGGCCUUACGGAACUGAAUAUUAUGUAGUUUUAUUGAGAUUAUUGAUAGUGCUUCUCUACUAUCAAAGAAGAUAA
Triticum aestivum (bread wheat) is the source of this 595-nucleotide long non-coding RNA. RefSeq lists it as uncharacterized. The record is from RefSeq and is a predicted model, not a curated record. NCBI's taxonomy places the organism in Eukaryota, Viridiplantae, Streptophyta, Magnoliopsida, Poales, Poaceae. The transcript is spliced from 3 exons.